UGGAGGCAUAGGUAAACCUGGG
RNAcentral lists this non-coding RNA (22 nucleotides) under Mus musculus (house mouse). The record is from RNAcentral. Lineage: Eukaryota; Metazoa; Chordata; Mammalia; Rodentia; Muridae.